ACGUCAAAUCAUCAUGCCCUUUAUGUCCUGGGCUACACACGUACUACAAUGGUUGUAACAGAGGGAAGCGAAACAGUAAUGUGGAGCGAAACCCUAAAAGCGACCUCAGUUCGGAUUGAAGGCUGAAAUUCGCCUUCAUGAAGCUGGAAUUGCUAGUAAUGGCAGGUCAGCAUACUGCCGUGAAUACGUUCCCGGGCCUU
This 200-nucleotide ribosomal RNA is filed under the name uncultured prokaryote. RNAcentral's name for it is "partial 16S ribosomal RNA". It matches the Rfam family "Bacterial small subunit ribosomal RNA", at positions 1182 to 1382 of the family's 1533-position model. The record is from RNAcentral.